GCAAGUCGAACGGUAACAUUGAAGCUUGCUUCAGAUGACGAGUGGCGCACGGGUGCGUAACGCGUAUACAAUCUACCUUUUACAGGGAGAUAGCCUUUAGAAAUGAAGAAUAAUACCCCAUAACAUAUAGAUUUGGCAUCAGAUCUAAAUUAAAGAUUUAUCGGUAAGAGAUGAGUAUGCGUUCUAUUAGCUAGUAGGUAAGGUAACGGCUUACCUAGGCAACGAUAGAUAGGGGCCCUGAGAGGGGGAUCCCCCACACUGGUACUGAGACACGGACCAGACUCCUACGGGAGGCAGCAGUGAGGAAUAUUGGACAAUGGGCGCAAGCCUGAUCCAGCCAUGCCGCGUGCAGGAAGACUGCCCUAUGGGUUGUAAACUGCUUUUAUACAGGAAGAACCCCCUUUACGAGUAGAGGGCUGACGGUACUGUAAGAAUAAGCAUCGGCUAACUCCGUGCCAGCAGCCGCGGUAAUACGGAGGAUGCGAGCGUUAUCCGGAAUCAUUGGGUUUAAAGGGUCCGUAGGUGGAUUAAUAAGUCAGAGGUGAAAUCCUGCAGCUCAACUGUAGAACUGCCUUUGAUACUGUUAAUCUUGAAUUAUUGUGAAGUAGUUAGAAUAUGUAGUGUAGCGGUGAAAUGCAUAGAUAUUACAUAGAAUACCAAUUGCGAAGGCAGAUUACUAACAAUAUAUUGACACUGAUGGACGAAAGCGUGGGGAGCGAACGGGAUU
This 727-nucleotide ribosomal RNA is filed under the name uncultured bacterium. RNAcentral describes it as "bacterial SSU rRNA". It matches the Rfam family "Bacterial small subunit ribosomal RNA", at positions 57 to 779 of the family's 1533-position model. The record is from RNAcentral.